RNAcentral lists this ribosomal RNA (347 nucleotides) under uncultured eukaryote. Its description in RNAcentral is "SSU rRNA". It matches the Rfam family "Eukaryotic small subunit ribosomal RNA", at positions 594 to 945 of the family's 1831-position model. The record is from RNAcentral.
AUAGCGUAUAUUAAAGUUGUUGCAGUUAAAAAGCUCGUAGUUGAACCUUGGGCCUGGCUGGCCGGUCCGCCUCACCGCGUGCACUGGUCCGGCCGGGCCUUUCCUUCUGGCUAGCCACAUGCCCUUAAUUGGGUGUGUUGGGGAACCAGGACUUUUACUUUGAAAAAAUUAGAGUGUUCAAAGCAGGCCUAUGCUCGAAUACAUUAGCAUGGAAUAAUAAAAUAGGACGGCAUGGUUCUAUUUUGUUGGUUUCUAGGACCACCGUAAUGAUUAAUAGGGAUAGUUGGGGGCAUUAGUAUUCAAUUGUCAGAGGUGAAAUUCUUGGAUUUAUUGAAGACUAACUACUG